UACGAAGGGGGCUAGCGUUGCUCGGAAUCACUGGGCGUAAAGGGUGCGUAGGCGGGUUUUAAGUCAGGGUGAAAUCCUGGAGCUCAACUCCAGAACUGCCUUUGAUACUGAGGAUCUCGAGUCCGGGAGAGGUGAGUGGAACUGCGAGUGUAGAGGUGAAAUUCGUAGAUAUUCGCAAGAACACCAGUGGCGAAGGCGGACUCACUGGCCCGGUACUGACGCUGAGGUGCGGAAAGCGUGGGAGCAAACAGGGA
RNAcentral lists this ribosomal RNA (254 nucleotides) under uncultured bacterium. Its description in RNAcentral is "partial 16S ribosomal RNA". It matches the Rfam family "Bacterial small subunit ribosomal RNA", at positions 524 to 778 of the family's 1533-position model. The record is from RNAcentral.